This 10059-nucleotide long non-coding RNA is filed under the name Sorghum bicolor (sorghum). RNAcentral describes it as "long non-coding RNA (SBIC_LNC008940)". Lineage: Eukaryota; Viridiplantae; Streptophyta; Magnoliopsida; Poales; Poaceae. The record is from RNAcentral.
UUUAUUUACAUCUAGAGCCGCCAUGAACAACUGGGUUUUGAUUAGAUAAUGUUUAGCCUUCGGUACUUGCUUGUAAACGCGCGUGCUGAUCCAGCCGCCCGUCUUCUUGUUUUCGAAACCCCACUUCAUUAGAGAUUGAGUUUGAAACCUUCAUUUACAUCUAGUAAUUUAGUACUUGUUCUACUUGUUCUUGCUGGUUCUUCGAUUGCUUGCAGGACGAGUGCCCUAGUGGCCGGGUGUUGCGCUCCACAAGAUCGUGACAGCCAUUGGAGGCGGUGUAUCGGUUACUAAGGCGCGGCCUUAGAAGGCUGUAGUCGGGCCGUGAACGUCAUCUCCAUUCACUAAUCGAGUUAUCCAGCGCCUCUCAUCGAAAGAUCAGGCGAAAACCCUAGUGGGUUCACAUCAGUUGGUAUCAAAGCAAGGUUUAUCGGUGAGAGAUUUCCAAUUCUUCGUGUUUGUUUUUCCUAUAGUCCAAAAAAAGCCAAAAAAUAUAGCAGAUUUGUUUUCCAUAAUCCUAUAAAUCCUUUGUGUCGUGGCUAGUACUACUUAGUUAGGGCUGGUUGAAUGAGUGUUUGCUUCGGCCGUGUCCAGUGCUGGUUUUAGUUUAGUCCUUUAGAGUUUUGAGUUCUUGUCACCAUCUAGUCACAACUGCGUCCAAUCUAUUGUGGGUUGAAUUUGAGUAGAUCUUGAUAAUAGGUGCAGCCACUUGUUGGUCUAUUCUGCGUUUCCAUCAACGUGAUCCAAAAGGAAAGAUAGCACUUCAUACUUGUGCUAGAUAUAUUGAAUUUUGAGGUUCAGCCUUACUCUAGUGAGAGGGUGAGAGUGGUGAAGUGAUAUUUUGUACUAUUUUGUUUAUAUAAUCAGGUUUUGAGGUUCCCCAAAAAAAAGAAAAGAGAAAAAAAAAUAAAGAAAAAAAAAGAAAGAAAGAAAGAAAAAAGAAAAAAAAUCAAAAAAAGGGGAUUGUUGUUCCUUUUGUUUCCAGUAGGGCUGCUCAUUUUGUUUCUAGUGGUGUGCUGUGUUUUCCCUUUGUGUCCAGGCUCGCGUCUCUAGCACGGUCUAGGCUAGGACCAGCACAGUACCACCGUUGAGCGUUUAUUCAACUUGCUUUUUAUAACUAACGUGGUGCUAGUUCGAUCCUUGUUUCAGCCCACCUAUAGCUCCACAUAUUCUACAGCUUGAUAGGUUUUGUUGCUGCAGCACCGAUACACUUCGUCCAUUGCUGUGGAUUUGUUGGUAGCCAAUCCCUCCUGUUGAGCAAGGUAAGAAUUGGUAAGAACUUGUUAGACAGAUUGAUAGAGAGCGUCUUACAGUAGCCACAUCCUAAUAGCUGUAGGGUUUUUAUUUCUUCACCUAUUUUUUUUGUUUCCACUGUGUGUUUUUUUAAACCAUGUCAGAGACAGAGGAUACCAACAAAAUUCCACAGUCACCUCGCACUAAGGGCAUCAUAUAACAUUUUGAAAGGCAAGUGAAGCUACACACAGAAGGGCUUGAUGACAACUUGAAGGUGACGAAUGACAAGCUUGGGCAGUUGGAGGACACGCAGAUUGCCACAAACAACAAGAUUACAAAGAUGGAGGCAUCUAUUACUAGUAUGGAUAAAAGUCUUGCUGCUCUUCUCAAACGCUUUGAUGACUUCCACACAAUGGACAAAGAGAAGCAUAAGGAAGAAAACAAGGAGGAAGACCGAGUGGGUGGCAAUUAUGAUGAUGAUUACACUGCUGAUACGGAACGAGAUGAUCAAGACACUCAUCAUCGACGUCGCCUACGUCACACCUGUAGAGGUAUGGGUGGCCACCACCGACGCGAGGUACACAAUAAUAAUGAUGCUUUCAGUAAGAUUAAAUUUAAAAUACCUCCUUUUGAUGGUAAAUAUGACCCUGAUGCAUACAUUAAUUGGGAGAUUGUUGUUGACCAAAAGUUUACAUGUCAUGAAUUCCCUGAGGAUACACGUGUUAGGGCUGCAACUAGUGAGUUCACCGAUUUUGCUUCCGUUUUGUGGAUAGAACAUGGCAAGAAAAAUCCUAAUAACAUACCUAGAACUUGGAAUGCGUUGAAACAAGUCAUGAGGGCUAGAUUUGUUCCUUCUUACUAUGCACGUGACAUGAUUAAUAAGUUGCAGCAAUUGAGACACGGUGCUAAAAGUGUAGAAGAAUAUUAUCAGGAAUUACAAAUGGGUAUGCUGCGAUGUAAUUUAGAGGAGGAAGAAGAACCUGCUAUGGCUAGAUUUUUGGGCGGGUUAAAUCGUGAAAUCCAGGACAUCCUCGCUUACAAAGAAUACAAUAAUGUAACCCGUUUGUUUCAUCUUGCUUGUAAAGCUGAAAGGGAAGUGCAGGGACGACGUGCUAGCGCAAGGAGUAAUAUUUCUGCAGGGAAGGCUAAUUCAUGGCAGCAACACAUGGCUUCAACUCCAUCUACACGUAUUUCUACUCCAUCAUCUAGUGACAAGGCUGGAGCUGCCCCCACCAAUUCAGUUGCGAAGACGAUGCAAAAGCCUACUGCGAGUACUUCAUCCGUGGCAUCGACGGGUAGAACAAGCAACAUACAAUGUCAUCGGUGCAAGGGAUGUGGGCACAUGAUGCGUGACUGCCCAAACAAGCGAGUUAUGAUUGUCAGGGAUGAUGGUGAGUACUCAUCUGCUAGUGAUUUUGAUGAGGAUACACUUGCACUGCUUGCGACUGACCAUGCAGGUAAUGAAGAUCAAAUAGAAGAACAUAUUAAUGCAGGUGAAGCGGACCACUAUGAGAGCUUGAUCGUGCAGCGAGUGCUUAGUGCACAAAUGGAGAUGGCGGAACAAAAUCAGCGACACAUUUUAUUCCAAACAAAGUGUGUCAUCAAAGAGCGUUCUUGUCGCAUGAUCAUUGAUGGAGGUAGCUGCAACAACUUGGCAAGCAGCGAUAUGGUGCAGAAGCUUGCCCUCAACACCAAACCACACCCGCAUCCCUACUACAUCCAAUGGCUGAACAACAGUGGUAAGGCAAAGGUAACUAGACUUGUGAGAAUUAAUUUUUCCAUCGGAUCCUACAAAGAUAUUGUUGAAUGUGAUGUUGUGCCUAUGCAAGAUUGUAACAUUCUGCUAGGUAGACCUUGGCAAUUUGAUAGAGAUUCUAUGCAUCAUGGUAGAUCAAAUCAAUAUUCUUUUCUAUACCAUGAUCGCAAAAUUGUGUUGCAUCAUAUGUCCCCUGAAACUAUUAUGCAAACUGAUGUUGCUAGGGCUACUAAAGCAAAGAGCAAGAGCAAUAAAAAUGAUAAAUCUGUAAUUGGUAACAAAGAUGAGAUAAAACUGAAAGGACGUUGUAUGAUAGCUACCAAAUCAGAUAUUAAUCAGUUCAAUGCAUCCACUUCUGUUGCUUAUGCUUUGAUAUGCAAGGAUGCUUUGAUUUCAAUUGAGGAUAUGCAAUGUUCUUUGCCCCCUGCUGUUCAUAACAUUUUGCAGGAGUAUGCUGAUGUUUUUCCAAGUGAGAUACCGGCAGGGCUGCCACCUAUACGUGGGAUUGAGCACCAAAUUGAUCUUAUUCCUCGUGCAUCUUUGCCAAACCGCGCGCCAUACAGGACAAAUCCAGAGGAAACAAAAGAGAUCCAGCGGCAAGUGCAAGAACUCCUCGACAAAGGUUAUGGAAUUGAGGUUGAUCAAGCCAAGGUAGAAGCUAUACAGGGAUGGUCUGUACCAAAGACAAUCACCUAGGUGCGGAGUUUCUUAGGACUUGCUGGGUUUUAUCGCCGUUUUGUGAAGGAUUUCAGCACCAUUGCUGCACCAUUGAAUGAGCUUACAAAGAAGGGAGUGCCUUUUGUGUGGAGCAAAGUACAAGAGAAUUCCUUCAACAUGUUAAAAGAUAAGUUAACACAUGAACCUCUCCUACAGCUUCCUGAUUUUAAUAAGACUUUUGAGCUUGAGUGUGAUGCUAGUGGUAUUGGUUUGGGAGGUGUUUUGCUACAAGAGGGUAAACCAGUUGCAUAUUUUAGUGAGAAAUUGAGUGGGCCUGUUCUGAACUAUUCAACUUAUGAUAAAGAAUUGUAUGCUCUUGUCCGAACUUUAGAAACAUGGCAACAUUAUUUGUGGCCCAAAGAGUUUGUUAUUCAUUCUGAUCAUGAAUCUUUAAAACAUAUUCGUAGUCAAGGAAAACUAAAUCGCAGACAUGCUAAGUGGGUAGAAUUUAUUGAAUCCUUUCCUUAUGUUAUUAAGCACAAGAAAGGGAAGGAGAAUAUCAUUGCUGAUGCUUUGUCAAGGAGAUAUACUUUGCUAAAUCAACUUGAUUACAAGAUUUUUGGAUUAGAAACGAUCAAAGACCAAUAUGUUCAUGAUGCUGAUUUUAAUGAAGUGUUGCUGCGUUGUAAAGAUGGAAAAGGAUGGAACAAAUUCAUCGUUAGUGAUGGGUUUGUGUUUAGAGCUAACAAGCUAUGCAUUCCAGCUAGCUCUGUUCGUUUGUUGUUGUUACAGGAAGCUCAUGGAGGAGGUUUGAUGGGACAUUUUGGAGCAAAGAAGACGGAGGACAUACUUGCUGAUUUGAAACCAUAUUUGGGUGAGGAACAUGAGCUUGAGUCGAGGACGACUCAAAUCCAAGAAAGGAAUGAUGAUGAGGACAUCAACACCAUCGAUAUAUCCGCACCUACACCAGUUGGUCCUCUUACUCAUGCUCGUGCCCGUCAACUCAACCUUCAAGUAAGUUCAGUUUUAAACUCUUGUCAAUCAUAUUUAGACAAUGGAGACACGUGCACUUUCGUGUUGCUCAGGAAUAAUGGACAAGAUCAGCAAGGGAAGGUUCAACUGCAUUCGGAAUUUGAGGCAACACCAACUUCAAGGGCUGAUUGCAUAUGGGAAGAGUGAUAACUUAACAAAGGUGAUUGGAGAUCAAGUGCAAGCCUCCACAACAUCCUCUAUCAAGUUACCACGUCGCUUCUAAAGCAAAGAAACAAAGAGUCCAAACCCAACACGUUUUGGGAGUUGGAUUCGGACUGGAAAAUAACUCUACAUUGUAUGGAUCACCACGGCGUCAUAUGGACUCCAACUGGGACGUUCCUAUACUUGUUGGAAAGCUCAUGAAGUCUACUUUCCAAUGGGUCCAACCACAUAUCUAUGCAGCUUAUGAGUCGGGCGCAGUCCUUGUUUUUGUGCCGACACCUUUUUCUGUUUUGGUGCUGCGUCACCCUAUUUUGGACCAAUGGCCCAUGUAUCAAGUUGAGUCCAUUAGGGACGCGUCCUAGGGUUGGAGGACGACUCUAGCACCCCUUUGGUCGUCCUCCCCUCUAUUUAUUUACAUCUAGAGCCGCCAUAAAUAACUGGGUUUUGAUUAGAUAAAGUUUAGCCUUCGCUACUUGCUUGUAAACGCGCGUGCUGAUCCAGCCGCCCGUCUUCUUUUUUUCGAAACCCCACUUCAUUAGAGAUUGAGUUUGAAACCUUCAUUUACAUAUAGUAAUUUAGUACUUGUUCUACUUGUUCUUGCUGGUUCUUCGAUUGCUUGCAGGACGAGUGCCCUAGUGGCCGGGUGUUGCGCUCCACAAGAUCGUGACAGCCAUUGGAGGCGGUGUAUCGGUUGCUAAGGCGCGGCCUUAGAAGGCUGUAGUCGGGCCGUGAACGUCAUCUCCAUUCACUAAUCGAGUUAUCCAGUGCCUCUCAUCGAAAGAUCAGGCGAAAACCCUAGUGGGUUCACACCAGGUGCCUCCAUCUUUCCUACGCUUGACUUGUUCUGAAGCCAUGGUAAACCAUAAUAUUUGCAGCAGUUACACGGCUCUUGAAUCCCAAGUGCCUCAUUAGUUCCAUCUUUCUUAGCUUUCAUGUUCUUCCAGGCUUCUACUACUUAUCUCUUCAUUGCUCCUUCCUGAGUUUUGGUGAUGGUCUUCUCUGAAGGUAGCUGAGAAUCUUUCUGUGGUUCUACUCCACCUAGUGCUUGAUCCUGCGUAAACAAGGGCUUCUCCUUGUUUACUAGGGACAAGGGUAGCAUAGUUGGGUCUUCUUGACAUUUGGUGUAAGCUUCUUCAAUGUCACCUUGGAGAAGUAAAGAUUGUACUGUCAAAAGAUUUUGGAGUCUGGCCAUCUGAUUAGCUGCCAUCUCUAGGAUUUGGGAUGCCAAGCUAUCAUCUCUUCACUGCUCAAUUGUGUUAUAGAAGUCAUUUGCUGACUCUGAUCACUAGUAUUCUUUCCUUUGACAUCAUCACUGGUGUCGACCAUCUGAUAAUAUGUAGUAGAAUGAGCUAGAGUAGUAUGGACAAAGAGCAUGAUUGAAGUGAGAGAAAAUAGGUGGAGAGGAUCAAGAUUGACAAUAGAUAUGGAUAGAAUAAGAGAGAUCACUACCCCACUUAACAAAGGUCGAACUAAUCCCCAAACGACUUCUUCCAAACCUCCUUCAAACAUAAGAGCAAGGAUACACAUAGGCAACAGAACAUGCAAGACAAGCAUGCAAUACCAUAUGCUUGGAAAUCAAUUUGGAUGCACCUGAUGGAACUCCUUGAUGAUGUGUGUCAUAUGGAAUCUCGCUUUGGUCUGUUUAUAAACAUUGUUAGUUUCGGUGCAAGAUAUGUGCAUGGUUUGCACCUAAUGCACCAUAGUCUAAGAAACCAUUUUGGAAGCACCUGUUGGUACAUCGGUGAAGAGGCUCAAGUGGAAGCUCGGUUUGAUCUAUUUGGAGAUAGUGCUAAUCUUGGUGCAAUAUAGGUGCAUGAUUUGCAAGGAACAUACCAUAUCCUUAGAAAUUAAUUUGGACGCACACAAUGGAACUCCCAGAUGACGUGUGUCAUGGAAUCUUGCUUCAGUCCGUUUGUAGACAUUGUAAGUUUUAGUGCAAGAUAGGUGCACAGUUUGCGCCUAAUGCACCAUAGUCUAAGAAACCAUUUUGGACGCACUAUUUGGUAAUCUAGGGUGAAGAGUGUCAAGUGGAUGCUCGAUUCGGUUUGUUUGGAGAUAGUGCUAAUCUUGAUGCAAGAUAGGUGCACGGUUUGCAUGGAACAUACCCAAUGCUUGGAAAUCAAUCUGGAUGCACAUGAUGCAACUCCUAGAUGACGUGUUUCAUACGAAAUCUUGCUUCGGUCUGUUUGGAGACAGUGUUAGUUUCGGUAAGAUAGGUGCAAGGUUUGCACAUAAUACGACAUAGGAGAAGAAACCAUUUUGGACGCACCCGAUGGUACUCCUAGGUAAAAGGCUCAAGUGAAAGCUCGGUUUGGUCUAUUUGGAGAUAGUGCUAAGCUUGAUUCAAGAUAGAUGCACGGUCUGCAUGGAACGUACCAUAUGCUUAGAAAUUAAUUUGGACACACCCGAUAGAACGCCUUGAUGACGUGUGUCAUAUGGAAUCUCGCUUUGGUGUGCUUAGAGACAGUAUUAGUUUUGGUGCAAGAUAUGUGCACGGUUUGCGCCUAAUGUGAUGAGGACAUCAACACUGCCGACACCAGUACCUAUUGCUGGUCCUCUUACUCGUGCUCAUGCUUGUCAACUUAAUCAUCAAGUGAGUUCUUUCUUAAGCUCUUGUCCAUCUUGUUUAGACCUUGGAAACACAUGCACUUUUGUUUUGAUUAGGAACCAAGGAGAAGACCGAAAGGGACAAGGACUCACGUUGGCUGGAUUAGGACUGCAGCAAAGCGCCAACUUGUGACCGUCACCACGGUUGCAUACGGAUUCAGAUUGGGGUGCUUCAGGACUUGUUGGAAAGCGUAUAAAGUCUACUUUCAUACGAGUCUAGUUCCACGACAAUAUAUGUUCGGCAGCAGCAGCAAAGAUCCAAUUACCGUAGAGAGGUCUUGCUGUCUAGGGUGCUGCGCCACCUUAUUUUGGGCUGAUGGCCUAUGUAUCAAGUUGGAUCUAUUAGGGACGUGUCCUUGGGUUAAACCACGACCCUAGACCUCCUUUAGUCAUCCUUUAGGGUACUUAAGGUCCCUACAGCCGCCGCCACAUAGUUGGGUUUUGAUUAGAUCAAGUUUAGUCUUCGCUACUUGCUUGUAAACGCGCGUGCUGAUCCAGCUGCCCGUCUUCUUGUUUUCAGAACCCUACUUCAUUGGAGAUUGUGUUUGAAACCUUUGUUUACGUCUAGUAAUUCAGUACUUGUUCUACUUGUUCUUGCUGGUUCUUCGAUUGCUUGUAGGACGAGUGCCCUACUGGCUAGUUGUCGCGCUCCAUAAGAUCGUGACAGCCAUUGGAGGUGGUGUAUCGGUUGCUAAGGCAUGGCCUUGGAGGGCUGUAGUCGGACCGUGAACGUCAACUCCUUUCACCAGUCGAGUUACCCAGCAUCUCUCAUCAAAAGAUUGGGCGAAAACCCUAGCAGGUUCUUAUCAGUUGGUAAUCAGAGCAAGGUUUAUUAGUGAGAGACUUUCAAUUCUUUGCUGUUUUACUUUUCCCAUAGUUCCAAUAAAAAGCCAAAAACAGUAGUAGAUUAGUUUUCCCACAGUCCUAUAAACACUUUGAGCCUUGGCUAGCACUACUUAGUUAGGGCUUGUUGUGUUUGAUUUACUUCGGUUGAGUCAAGUUGCUGGUCCUAGGGUUAGGCUUUUAGAGUUUUGAGUUCUUGUCACGUUUUGGUCCUAUCCAUCAUUUUCAUCUCGCUAUCAUCACCACCACCAUAUAUUACAUAUCCACUACACCAUAUUUAUCUCAAUUGCAAUCUUUACUGCCAUAUUUUUCUUUGUUACACCAUAUCCACCAUUACUCACUGAAAAGAAACAAAAAUACUUUGUAAGUUGUUUCUAUUUGGAAUCUGAUUUGUCAAGAUUCAGAUUUGUCCUAGUUUUGCAAAGUAAAGGAAAAGAAGAAGAAAGAGUAUAAAGAAGAGAAAAGAAAAAAAAGAGAACAAAAAGAAAAAGAAAAGGAAAAGAACAGAAAACAAAAAGGAAAGGGGAGUAAUAGGUUGCUGUUGCUAUUCUUGUGUUGUUUCCAACUAUACAGUGACUCUGUUUGUGUCUAGGCUUGCGUCUCUAGCACGAUCUAGCCUAGGACCAGCAUGGUACCACCGUCGAAUGAUUUCUCAACUUGCUUUUGUAAUUAACAUGGUGCUAGUUAUUCCUUGUUUUUAGCCUACCUAUAGCUCCACAUAUUCUACAGCUUGACAGGUCUUGUUGCUGCAGCACCGAUACACUUCGUUCCAUUGCUGCAGACUUGUCGGUAGCCGACACCUCCUGUUGAGCAAGGUAAGAAUUGGUAAGAACUUGUCUAACAGGUUGAGAGUGAGCGCCUUAUUGUAGCUACAUCCUAAUAGUUGUAGGGCUUGUGUUUCUUCACCUAUUUUCUUGUUUCCACUAUUUUUUUAAAAACCAUGUUAGAAACAGAGGAAGUCAACAAGAUUCUGUAGUCACCUCACACUAAGGGCAUCAUACCACAUUUUGAAAGGCAAGUGAAGCUGCACACAGAGGGGCUUGAUAACGACUUGCAGGUGACGAAUGAAGAGCUAGGGCAGUUGGAGGCCACACAGAUUGCCACUAAUGACAAGCUUACAAAGGUGGAGGUAGCUGUUGCUAAUGUGGAUAAAAGUCUUGUUGUGCUUCUCAAGCGUUUUGACGCUUUCCACACAAUGGAUAAAGAGAAGCAUAAGGAAGAAAUCAAGGAGGAAGAACGAGUGGACAACAAGUACGAUGAUGAUUACACUACUGAUACUGAACGGGAUGAUCAAGACACUCGUGAUCGACGUCGCCUACAUCACAACCGUAGAGGUAUGGGUGGCCACCGCCGAUGUGAGGUACACAAUAAUAAUGAUGCUUUCAGUAAGAUUAAAUUUAAAAUACCUCCUUUUGAUGGUAAAUAUGAUCCUGAUACUUACAUUACUUGGGAGAUUGUUGUUGAUCAAAAGUUUGCACGGAAUAAAUUUCCUGAGGAUACUCGUGUUAGGGCUGCUACUAGUGAGUUUACUGAUUUUGCCUUAGUUUGGUGGAUAGAACAUGAUGCGAACCCGCUAGGGUUUUUGCCUGAUCUUUUGAUGAGAGACGGGGAUAACUCGAUUGGUGGAUGGAGAUGACGUUCACGGCCCGACUACAGCCCUCAAGACCGCGCCUUAGCAACCGAUACACCACGUCCAACAGCCGUCACGAUCUUGUGGAGCGCGACAACCAGGCCCUAGGGCUCCCGUCCUGCAAGCAAUCGAAGAACUAGCA